Molecule: ribosomal RNA, 494 nt
Filed under: uncultured bacterium
Lineage: Bacteria
Description: partial 16S ribosomal RNA
Rfam family: Bacterial small subunit ribosomal RNA
Source: RNAcentral
GACGAACGCUGGCGGCGUGCUUUAGGCAUGCAAGUCGAACGCGAAAGCCCCUUCGGGGGUGAGUAGAGUGGCGAACGGGUGAGUAACACGUGGGUAACCUGCCCCUCGCAGGGGGAUAACCGGGGGAAAUCCCGGCUAAUACCCCGUACGCUUGCUGGGGCGCAUGCUCCGGCAAGGAAAGGUAGCUUCGGCCAUCCGGCGAGGGAGGGGCCCGCGGCCCAUUAGCUAGUUGGUGGGGUAACGGCCCACCAAGGCGACGAUGGGUAGCUGGCCUGAGAGGGUGGUCAGCCACACUGGGACUGAGACACGGCCCAGACUCCUACGGGAGGCAGCAGCCAGGAAUCUUGCGCAAUGGGCGAAAGCCUGACGCAGCAACGCCGCGUGGGCGAUGAAGGCCUUCGGGUCGUAAAGCCCUGUUGUCGGGGACGAAGGGCGAAGGGUUAAUAGCCCCUAGCCUGACGGUACCCGACGAGGAAGCCCCGGCUAACUACGUG